RNAcentral lists this ribosomal RNA (442 nucleotides) under uncultured bacterium. RNAcentral describes it as "partial 16S ribosomal RNA". It matches the Rfam family "Bacterial small subunit ribosomal RNA", at positions 338 to 795 of the family's 1533-position model. The record is from RNAcentral.
CCUACGGGUGGCUGCAGUAGGGAAUCUUUCACAAUGGGCGAAAGCCUGAUGGAGCAACGCCGCGUGCAGGAUGAAGGCCUUCGGGUUGUAAACUGCUUUUAUAAGCGAGAAAUAUGAUGGUAACUUAUGAAUAAGGAUUGGUUAACUACGUGCCAGCAGCCGCGGGCAUACGUAGGAGCCGAGCAUUAUCCGGAGUGACUUGGUGUAAAGAGUUGCGUAGGUGGCAUAAUAAGUAGCUAGGGAAAUCUGGUCGCUCAACCAUUCAGACUGUUAGCUAAACUGUUAAGCUCGAGACCGUUAGGGGUAACUGGAAUUUCUAGUGUAGGAGUGAAAUCCGUAGAUAGUAGAAAGAACACCGAUAGCGUAGGCAGGUUACUGGGACGGUUCUGACACUAAGGCACGAAAGCGUAGGGAGCAAACGGGAUUAGAUACCCUGGUAGUC